UACGGAGGGUGCGAGCGUUAAUCGGAAUUACUGGGCGUAAAGCGCACGCAGGCGGUUUGUUAAGCAAGAUGUGAAAGCCCCGGGCUCAACCUGGGAACUGCAUUUUGAACUGGCAGACUAGAGUCUUGGAGGAGGGGGUGGAAUUCCAGGUGUAGCGGUGAAAUGCGUAGAGAUCUGGAGGAACUCAGUGGCGAACGGCGGCCCCUGGCAAAGACUGACGCUCAUGUGCGAAAGUGUGGGUAGCGAAACAGGAUUAGACG
RNAcentral lists this ribosomal RNA (260 nucleotides) under uncultured bacterium. RNAcentral's name for it is "partial 16S ribosomal RNA". It matches the Rfam family "Bacterial small subunit ribosomal RNA", at positions 524 to 784 of the family's 1533-position model. The record is from RNAcentral.